This 604-nucleotide long non-coding RNA is filed under the name Pan troglodytes (chimpanzee). RNAcentral describes it as "long non-coding RNA NONPTRT008546". The record is from RNAcentral. Lineage: Eukaryota; Metazoa; Chordata; Mammalia; Primates; Hominidae.
GGCUUGGUCGUAGGAUCAGCAGGGCUCGCACUUCGGUCAGCAGGAAAAGACGCUGCGGCGAGCAGCGGAGGGCGGAGUUGAAUGGCUGGGCAGCUGAUUGCCUUACUGUAUCCGGAGCUGCUGCGUUCGGGGCGGUUCGGGAGUCCCCAGGAAAGGAGGCUGUUCUUGGACUAUGCCUGACCCGUUUUUUAAGAAAGAGUGCAUCAGUCAACAGGUGGCGUCUGGAGUUAUCCUCUGUGGAUUUUCCAGGAUCUCAGACAAGAUCGUGCAAUCUCCCAGCCUCCUUUCCUUCCCCUGCCCUGACUUCUGAAAGAAUGCUGCGGAGAGGAGGGAGAGCAUCCUGGCUCCUGGCAGCAGAGCCCCACUGUGACAGGACCUAGCAUUCACCUUUCUCUUCUGUUCCGAGUGUGAGAAGACUUCAGGGACCUCUGUUUCAUGGACAUUAUCAUAUUCUUCUCAGAGUACCCAGCAAGAGGUUUGCAAAGAGGAGUUAUUCAGUGAGUAAGUGUGAUUCAUGUAGCUCUCCAACAGGCAUCUGGAUUUUGGGCGCUACAGCUUGCAAUUAGAGAACAAAAUAGAAGGAUUAUCCACAGUCCUUGUCUGU